RNAcentral lists this ribosomal RNA (301 nucleotides) under uncultured bacterium. RNAcentral describes it as "partial 16S ribosomal RNA". It matches the Rfam family "Bacterial small subunit ribosomal RNA", at positions 509 to 808 of the family's 1533-position model. The record is from RNAcentral.
CAGUAGCCACGGUAAUACGGGGGGGGCAAGUGUUAUUCGGAAUGACUGGGCGUAAAGGGCACGUAGGCGGUGAAAAGGGUGGAAAGUGAAAGUCGCCAAAACACUGGCGGGGUGCUUUCUUGACCAUUUCACUUGAGUGAGAUAGGGGAGAGUGGAAUUUCGUGUGGAGGGAUCAAAUCCUAAGAUAUACGAAGGAACGCCAACCGCGAAGGCAGCUCUCUGGGUCCCCACUGACGCUGGGGUGCGAAAGCAUGGGGAGCAAACAGGAUCAGAUACCCGCGUAGUCCCUGUCUCUUAUACC